Gossypium arboreum is the source of this 451-nucleotide long non-coding RNA. RefSeq lists it as uncharacterized. NCBI's taxonomy places the organism in Eukaryota, Viridiplantae, Streptophyta, Magnoliopsida, Malvales, Malvaceae. The record is from RefSeq and is a predicted model, not a curated record. The transcript is spliced from 4 exons.
AGAGCAAGGUACCUUUCUUGGCUGAUCCCUUUCGCGUUAUGGCGUGCUCGUUUGGGUUGGGCAUCGGCUAGAAGUGCUCAGAGCGCGGAUUAACUCCAGUCUCCUAUCAGACAACUUUGGAGGAGCAGCGAGGCUUGGAGUAUCGACUUGGAUAAGCUUGAAUCGUAUUAUUGGACCCUGUGAAGGACAUCGUAAGGGAUCUCAGUAGCAGUCAUCGUGAAACAGGUGAGCCCUAGAAUUGGUGGACUUAGAGCUGGGCGGGAUUCAGAGUGGCCAUGAAGAUUGAUUGCCGAUUUUAAAUAAGUUUAGCCUUUAAUUUGGAUUAUUUUAUUUUUAUUAUGCUUAAAGUUGUAAUAAGGCCGCUCUUUUUAAUUGAUUUUAUUUUGGGGAUUAUUAAACUGGUUAGCACUAGGGUUCGUUUUAUAAAAUCUACUUGUUUUUAAAAAGAUCA